Molecule: ribosomal RNA, 344 nt
Filed under: uncultured bacterium
Lineage: Bacteria
Description: bacterial SSU rRNA
Rfam family: Bacterial small subunit ribosomal RNA
Source: RNAcentral
GAUGAACGCUAGCUACAGGCUUAACACAUGCAAGUCGAGGGGCAGCAUUUUAGUUGCUUGCAAACUGAAGAUGGCGACCGGCGCACGGGUGAGUAACACGUAUCCAACCUGCCGAUAACUCCGGAAUAGCCUUUCGAAAGAAAGAUUAAUACCCGGAUGGCAUACGAAUAUCGCAUGAUAUUUUAUAAAGAAUUUCGGUAUCGAUGGGGAUGCGUUCCAUUAGUUUGUUGGCGGGGUAACGGCCCACCAAGACUACGAUGGAUAGGGGUUCUGAGAGGAAGGUCCCCCACAUUGGAACUGAGACACGGUCCAAACUCCUACGGGAGGCAGCAGUGAGGAAUAUU